RNAcentral lists this ribosomal RNA (492 nucleotides) under uncultured bacterium. Its description in RNAcentral is "partial 16S ribosomal RNA". It matches the Rfam family "Bacterial small subunit ribosomal RNA", at positions 29 to 507 of the family's 1533-position model. The record is from RNAcentral.
AGUGAACGCUGGCGGUAGGCCUAACACAUGCAAGUCGAACGGCAGCACAGUAAGAGCUUGCUCUUACGGGUGGCGAGUGGCGGACGGGUGAGGAAUACAUCGGAAUCUACUUUUUCGUGGGGGAUAACGUAGGGAAACUUACGCUAAUACCGCAUACGACCUACGGGUGAAAGCAGUGGAUCUUCGGACCUUGCGCGAUUGAAUGAGCCGAUGUCGGAUUAGCUAGUUGGCGGGGUAAAGGCCCACCAAGGCGACGAUCCGUAGCUGGUCUGAGAGGAUGGUCAGCCACACUGGAGCUGAGACACGGUCCAGACGCCUACGGGAGGCAGCAGUGGGGAAUAUUGGACAAUGGGCGCAAGCCUGAUCCAGCCAGACCGCGUGGGAGAAGAAGGCCUUCGGGUUGUAAAGCCCUUUUGUUGGGAAAGAAAAGCAGCAGGUUAAUACCACGCUGUUCUGACGGUACCCAAAGAAUAAGCACCGGCUAACUUCGUG